UACGUAGGGUGCGAGCGUUGUCCGGAAUUAUUGGGCGUAAAGGGCUCGUAGGCGGUUUGUCGCGUCGGGAGUGAAAACCUUGGGCUUAACUCAGGGCUUGCUUUCGAUACGGGCAGACUAGAGGUAUGCAGGGGAGAACGGAAUUCCUGGUGUAGCGGUGAAAUGCGCAGAUAUCAGGAGGAACACCGGUGGCGAAGGCGGUUCUCUGGGCAUGAUCUGACGCUGAGGAGCGAAAGUGUGGGGAGCGAAUGGG
This 253-nucleotide ribosomal RNA is filed under the name uncultured bacterium. Its description in RNAcentral is "partial 16S ribosomal RNA". It matches the Rfam family "Bacterial small subunit ribosomal RNA", at positions 524 to 776 of the family's 1533-position model. The record is from RNAcentral.